AUGAUUAUGCAAGUUAUUGGCAGAAUUAUAAACCUCACAGGUGAUACACCCAGCACUCCAACUCUCGACAGCUUCCCUCCUCCCUCGGAAAAACUGCCUUUGCAGGAAACAGUCAGCAUCACGUGCCGCAUACAAGGAUCCUUCCCUGGAGAGGCCAAUAUAAGAUGGUUCCGAAAUGCCAAAGCCGCAGCAACUUCAGUCAACUCCAUCAGCAAACCUGAGAGACCAGAGAACUUCAGGUCUAGCCUACUGCACCUCAAUAUUUCAGAAUGGGAUGACGAAGCGACAUACUUUUGUGCCAUGGGAAAAGAGACCUUUCCCUCCUUGACAUUGCAGCAGGUCCCAGACCAGGACCCCGGCAAGCCCUCGGCCUCCAACAAGUCCCUCUUCAGGUCCCGCUUCCAGGAGGCUAAAGAAGACUCAAGUGUGAUUCUCAGAUGCGUAGUGGAAGGGCCCCAUCCUGACAACCUCUCCAUCACGUGGCACGAGAAUGGCAGACCCCUGACUGGAGACAACAGCGUCAUCCACACCAGCAGCGAGCCUAACGUUUUUCUCAACAGCAGCCUGAAAAUCUCUGGUGAUGCGUGGAAUUCGGCAAAGGCUUUCUCAUGCGCCAUUGGUCAGCAAAAUUCCCCACACCCGGAACACCCGUGAGAAAUCUCCGGGUGAGGAAUGAAGACCAGUCCCUGUCCCAACAUCGUGGCCUUUCCCCCCAGCACAGAAUUGCCUCUGCUGCAGUCAGAUCAAACCCUGUUUGACCCCCCCAUGCACCCCUUUGUAGUCAAUAGCUGUAUAAAACAGAAGCCCUAUGA
Molecule: non-coding RNA, 812 nt
Organism: Eublepharis macularius
Lineage: Eukaryota; Metazoa; Chordata; Lepidosauria; Squamata; Eublepharidae
Source: the annotation of a RefSeq genome assembly